AGAAAGGAGUGAAGAGAGGCUAUAAAAAGGGUGCUCAUCCUCUUUCUUCUCUUCUUUAUAAGCCAUAGAUAGAUUGAGAAAUAGAGAGUUUGUCAUAAAAAGAGUGCAUUCCCUCCUUUUGUGUUGUUACGUUGUAAACUUGACAGCGUCUCAUUUGCAAUAUGGGUAUAGUUAGUCCAAAUUAUGUGUUACUUAGUGGCUUUUGUAUUGUUCUAUAUAAAUUAGCAUUCUCUUAGUGUUUCGAGAAAUUUCAACAAUCAGUCCCCAACUUUAUAGUCUAGCAAAUUCACUUUCAACCAUUAAAAAAUACUUUUUAAUUCUCCACCAUUUACUUUCAUUUGCAUAUUUCCCCUUUUUUACAUUAUUUCGUUUAUUCCUUAAUUUCUUCCGAUUAAA
RNAcentral lists this long non-coding RNA (396 nucleotides) under Olea europaea subsp. europaea. Lineage: Eukaryota; Viridiplantae; Streptophyta; Magnoliopsida; Lamiales; Oleaceae. The record is from RNAcentral.